CCUACGGGCGGCAGCAGUAGGGAAUCUUGCACAAUGGGCGAAAGCCUGAUGGAGCAAAGCAGCGUGGGUGAAGAAGGUCUUCGGAUCGUAAAACCCUGUUGUUAGAGAAGAAAGCGCGUGAGCGUAACUGUUCAUGCUUCGACGGUAUCUAAAAAGAAAGCCACGGCUAACUACGUGCCAGCGGCCGCGGUAAUACGUAGGUGGCAGGCGUUAUCCGGAGUUAUUGGGCGUAAAGGUAACGCAGGCGGGUUUUUAAGUCUGAUGGUAAAGGCUUCGGCUUAACCGGUGUAGUGCAUUGGAAACUGGGAGGCUUGAGUGCAGAAGAGGAGAGUGGAACUCCAGGGGUAGCGGUGAAAUGCGUAGAUAUAUGGAAGAACACCAGUGGCGAAGGCGGCUCUCUGGUCUGUAACUGACGCUGAGGUUCGAAAGCGUGGGUAGCAAACAGGAUUAGAUACCCCAGUAGUC
Molecule: ribosomal RNA, 465 nt
Filed under: uncultured bacterium
Lineage: Bacteria
Description: partial 16S ribosomal RNA
Rfam family: Bacterial small subunit ribosomal RNA
Source: RNAcentral